Biomphalaria pfeifferi is the source of this 424-nucleotide non-coding RNA. Lineage: Eukaryota; Metazoa; Mollusca; Gastropoda; Planorbidae. The record is from the annotation of a GenBank genome assembly.
ACAAACUGAUGUCGGCUUUAAAAGAGGAUCUAAAACUUUCACGGAUUAUUUUGCCCGUAUCUUCCAUAGUUUCAGAGGACCAAUUUUUCGCAAGUAAAUGUAUUUUCAGCAAGACAUUCUGAUAUACACAAAUAAAUACUGCUUAUCACACACAAAUAAAUACAGCUUACCAAGACAAAUAAAUACAACUUAUCUCAAGUUAUGGACCAAAUGUAUUGGUAUAUCAAUGCCCCUUCUUUUUCGGGAGGGCUGAAAUGGAUUUUUGUUUUGUUUAAUUAGCUUUGUUUUUAUUGUUCAUCAUUAGAGCAUGUUAUGCAACUGUGGUCAGAAGCAAUGUUCUAAGUGUGUGUGGUCAGUAGCAUGUUCUAAGUGUGUGUGGUCAGAAAAAGUCUAGUAAGAUAUACCUCUUUCACGUCAGUUUGUC